UAAAAACCUUUAAUAAAAAUAGACAGCGCCCGGUUAAAUUACCGUUGUAAAACGUAAAUAUUACGCGAAACAUUCACCUCCAGCGCCAAUACAUAAAACUCCUCCUCAUCGAAAAUUUUGAUCACAAGUUCAGAACCCUAAUUCUUCAAUUUUUCUCGUCUUUUUGUCUAAACCCUAGAAUUUCUUAUAUAUAUACUCUAACCUAAUCAUUGUUUAUGUUUUUCUUCCCCCUGUUAGUCUAAAUUCUUCCUCAAUUUCUUCAAUUUGGGGAAUAAUUAUGCAUUUAUCAUCAAUUUGCCUGUUUGAGGCAGAUUAAGGCUUUGAGACGACAACUGACUGAAUCAGAGCUUCGGAACUAAUUUUUCCUCAAGUGAAGAUGUCGAUCUAUAAAUUUCACUUCACUUCGGGAAAAAGUAGAUUCGUAACUGUAAUGUAAUGCAAAGGUUUUGACGAAGGCUGAUUUUAUGGUGGUGAAAGAAGAAGCAGAGUUUAUUAUCUGAAUUGGGCUUAAUUUUGCGGGGAUUACCUUUUGUGGGGAUUAUCUGAAGACGAAGGCUGAUUUAGGGUUUAGAAUUAUGUUUUUUGUACCUUUUGAUGUUUAGUUGAGUUGUUAAUUUUAAUAUGUUGUUAAUUUCUAUUUAUUAUCUGAAAUUCUGAAUUGAGCUUAAAUUUUGUGGGGAUUACUUAUGUGGAUUUUGCUUAAAUUUUCAAGCUCUCUAUGUUUUUUGUACAAGAGAAUCUUGUACACUAGGUGUACAUGUAGCCUUUUCCACUUAUGUGUUUGAAAAUCGUCUUGUUAUUUGUGUGCUUGGAAUGACGAUGUUAUUAAAGACCUUGUCUUUUUGGUUGAGAGUACUAUUUUGGAAAUUGUGAAAUAGGAAGCCUGUUGAGUGAGUAGGUAGAUGUUGGUUUUUUUCCCUUUUAGGUCAUGUUUAUGACUUUGAAGUGUAUUCUGAUAAGUGUUAGAGUAGUCUUUAAGAAUGGUGAGUUUUUGUUGUUGGGAAUUGUCCCACAUUGAUAGAAUGGAGAUGUAAAGAGUUGUUUAUUAGUAGACCACCUCUUAUGUUUGAAUAGAAGUGGGCCUACUAGCUGGGCUAGUGUGUGCUUUGGGCUUGGGAGCUCUUUUAUAUUACUAACUGUUCUCAUUAAUAUCUAUCUUCCUCUCUAUCUCAGUGGAGAUUUUCUACUGUUUGAAGUGGAAUUUGAUGGUUAUGACCAUUAUCGAAACAUAGUGGCAGGUCACAUGACCAUAAAUCGUACUUUGAGUAAUCUUUUAAAACUGUCUUUCAUAUUAGACAACUUUUGAAAGGAAAACAGGAAGUUAAGUUUGUUUUGAUGGUUGUUAGUGUGUGUUUGAUCUUUAGGUUUAAAUGACGAGAAAUGUUGACUUAUUUUGUGAAUUGAUGGUGUUUUGAGGUUCUAGGUUUUGUGUGGUUUAUGGAAAAUUAUAAUUUGAACAUUGAAGUCAUUCUUGGAGUAUAUCUUUUUAGAUGUCAUUUAUUUUAGGAAACUUUUGAGAGAAACAUGGAAAGUUCAUUUUUUAAUUUUUGAUGGCUUUUAUCGUGUGUGACACUUGGGUCUAAAUGAUGAGAGGGUAUACUUAAUGAAAGAAUGUUAUACAGAGUAUAUAAUUUUAGUAAAGGGGUGUGUGAUACCUUAAUAUUUGAGAUCUUUUUAAUAGAAUGAAUUAAUGAACAAACGAUUGAGGUGUAUAGUAAAUUGAGGAUAUUAGCCUGGAAGGAUUUUUUUUUUAGUUAAGGCUUACAACUUGUUGUAUACUCUGUAUUUCAAGUAAUAUGCUAUAUUUAUAGGAUUGAGAGGAAACCUAUGGUGUAAAUUAUUCGGCUUUUAAGGGGAAUUCAUGGCUGCCGAAUUGUGUGUUCUAGAGAUAUUAGGAGAAGUGUUUUACUGAUUAAUGGAACUUGGGUCACUAAUCUUAUGUGUUUUUAAGGCGGUGAGCUGUAGGCUUUUUACAUCUUUGGAUUGAUUUGAUUCGAGGUUUCAGUUCUGGCAUGAAAUAUAUUGGAGUUGCCACUUAUAUUAUAUGAAUUAUAAUUUUUGAGGAUACAUUUCUAUUGUGAGAUUAGUUUGGAUAUUGAUAGUUUAGGGGCUGUGUUUUUAUUUUUGUGGUCUAAGGAAAGUUCUGUUUAGAAAAUUGAUAUCAUACUUUCGAGUAAUCAUGUUAGGGCUAUGUUUGAUAGUAGCCAACAUUCAAAAGGAACAUGGGAAGUUAAGUUUAUUUGUUACGAUGAGUGUUAGUUAGUGUCCAUGUGGGGUUUUUGGGUUCAAGUGAUAAGACGUGCUAACUUAUUUUGUGAAUAGAUGGUGUUUUGAGGUUACAGGGGUUGUGCGUAUUUGUGGUUUAUGGAAAGUCUUAUUUUGAUUAUUAAAAUCCUACUUGGAGUAAAUGUUGUGAGUCAUAUAUUAUAUUGGGCAACUUUUGACAGGAAUAGAAAAAUUCUAUAUUUUUUGAUGGUUAAAAAGAUGCGACUAUGCGAAGUGUGUACUUAAGGAAGGAAUGUCAUAUUGGGAACAGAAUAUAAUGGAGUGUUUGUCAUACAUGAAUCUGUGGGAUAUUUUUAACGGAAUGAGAUGACGACUUAGAACAUAAAUUAAUGAAGUUGCAUAGCAAUUUGAGACUUUUUUCUGGAUGGCUUUAUAAGUCUUUACUCUUUAGUUAUAUUUAAUAAGUUAGUUAUGUGAAAGUAACAUUCUAUGUUAAAGGUUUGAGUGGAACAAGCUUGUUAUAGACUAACUGAAUUCUCAGGCUGAAUCUAGGUCUAGGUUGCUGAGUUUUGGUGUUCUAAAAGUUGCAGUGGAAUUUUUUUCCUGAGACUAAGGGAAUCCUGGCUGCUAACUGUUGUGUGUUCUGAUGGUGAUAUGGACAGUGGUUGAGUUAUGUUCGUUAAUUUCAGUUUAUUUUCUUAAGUGUGUUUAAAUUUUCCGAGGAUAACUUAUCCAUGUCUGCAAUUUUUGUCUUGUUAUUUUUUUGUUUGAAAUGACGAUGUUAUAAAGAUGUCUUUUUUGUUGAAUAUUUUCUGAAAAUUCUUAAUAGGGUACAUUUAUUUUAUGAGAGUAGUUAGUGCUAUUGAGGUUGUAGGGGCUAUGUUUAUUUUAUGUUUUCUGAAAAGUUACUUUUUCGAAAUUGAAAUCAUACUUGAAAUAAAUCUUGAGAUACGUCAUUUAUAUGAGACAACCUUAAUGGGAAUAUCGAAAGUCAAGUUCGUUAUGAUUUUAUGGUUUUUUUUUUAUUGUGUCUGAUCUUUGGGUCUAAAUGACUAGAGGUGUGUAGUGAGAGGGAAUUUUAUGUUAAGAACAUAGUAAAACGGAGGUGUUUAAGGUACCCUAACUGAUAAAUAGGUGCUCAAGCUGAAAGCCUUGUAGAGUAAGUUGGGAAUUUUUUUCCUGGAAGUUUUUAUAGGUUUUACUGUUUAGUUAUAAUGUAUAAGUUGUUAAUUGUGCAAAGUAAUGUGCUAUUUUAAAGGUUUGAGUGGAAAAAGCUUGUUGUAGACUAGCCGACUUCUAAAGGGAAUGUGGGUUGAUAAGUUUUGUUUGCUGUAAAGGGUAUAAGUGGAAGAACUUUGAGGAAUAAAGGGAAUCCAAAUUGCUAAGUAUUAUGUGUUCUGAUGCUAAGUAUAAGUAUUAGGAAAAUAGAAUAAAAUACAUUAUAUGGUGAAAGUUAACAAAAUAAUUUAUUGAUUUCUUCUCUAUUAGUAUAAUAUACAUAGAUUCCUCAUCUCCUUCCUCCUCUUAAAACCCUAAAGUCUCCCCCCCACCACUAGGCCUGUGCAAAAAUUGGUCCGGACCGAAAAAUUAGGCCGGACCAGACUGGACCAGACCAGACCGAUUUUUUUCGGUCCGGUCUUCCAAAAUGAAAAAUCGGGUUUCCGUCCGGCCCGCUCCAAACCCGAAAAAAACGGACCGGACCGAAAACCGGUUUUAAAAUUAAAAUUUUUUUUGAAAAAUUAAUGACGGUGUUAUGAAAUAUUGUGUGGAUGCCCAUUAAACCCCUAGUAUAUUUUCGGAAUAUUCUAGAUCUUAGGGUUUAUUGUUCCCCAAGCGAACCAUAUUCUAUUGUAUGUAUAUAUACCCCAUUAUUCAUGGAAUAAGAUACACAAUUAUUCUCUCCCAAUUUACUCUCCUUCUUUAUUUCACAACACGUUAUUAGCACCAUCCCUAACCGACUGAGCAAGAGGAAUAAUCAUCAUCGAGAUAAGUAUUAAAUUUGGGAUUUAGUUCCUUUAAUUAUUAUGGUUUUUGAAUAGUGAUUUAUUACUAUUUGAGCAUGCGAUUGUUUGUAUCGACUUAUUUGGACUUUUCAAUUAUAUGUUGCGGAUUGCGGCAAUUUCAUAGUUGUCGAUCUUUAUUACUUUGUUAGUAUUGAUAUUUAUGUGCUUCUAUACAUUGAAUAUGCUAUUAAAGUUCCGAUUUGUUUUAUGAUGACUAAGGAAUCGUGUUUUACAUGACAAAGUCAAAUCCUUAAAUCAUAUUAGGGUUAUGAUGAUGUUAAUAAUACAUACUAUUUUGUUAGGGCUUAAUCUGACCAUUAUAGCUGUAAUUUCUUUUCCUUUUAAGCCAUGAAUAAUAAAGAAUAAAAGCCGGCAACGUGUGCUUCACUAUAUUCUAAUACAUAUGCAGUAUGAUUUUACAUGCUCCCGUAAUUCCAUGAAUUGCAAUGUUUUGGAAAUUUUAUUACGAGUUUCGUGAAUUACAAUAAUUGCACGAUUUACUAUGAUUUCUAGUUUAUUUAUGUGACUAUCAGUCUAUUAAUUGCUAAGUUUAGACUCUGUGACUAAAAGCAUUGUCAGUUAGGCACUUUGUAUAUGUAUGUAUAUGCACACGGCACACCACUACUGCAAUUUUCCUUUGGAGUGGAUAGCAAGUCCUUAUAUAUGUUUUAUGCCCAGAAUAUGUAUGUUUAAUGUAAAGUUUUGUUAUCCGACACCUAAAGCAUUCACUAAACAAUAAUUUACAGCCUAUUAUAUGGAUUAUUUAAAGAAAUUGUUGUUGGAUAUCACUCGUUCAUCUCAUGUAUUGCUUCCAUUAGUUUACUCGUAUUCUAUUACGAAACUAUUCGAAGUUGAUUAGAGAUACUUGUGUGCGGAAUAAAAAGCCUAAGUUGUUAACUAAGUUUAAACGAAUACACUUGUAUUGCAACAAUGUAUAGUGAAUAAUAUUAUUCCAAGGUAUAAUGAAUAAUGUUUGGUGGCAAUGAUUAAUUGAUUACGUAUAUAACUUUUGAAGAGCAUGCUUAGAGCUUGAUUUAUAUAUGAUUAUUAUCUAUUAGGUUCGUAUUUGAAAUAUUCUCUUGUAUGAUGAACUAUAUGAAAAUUGAAAAUCAUGGAUUUCUUUUCUCCUAGUAUUAUCUUGGUGUAUAUAUUAUCUUGGUGGUUAGACAUUGGACAUCAAAACCACAUAGGGAUUAAAGGUUUGGUUGAUACGAUCAAAGAGAGAAAAAAAAAGGGUAAAAUACGACCAAGGCUAUGAUAUUACCUGAAUCUCAUAACUACUAGUUACAUCUAAGAUUACGGUCAUAUAUGAGGUGGUUCUCUCAAUAACUCAUAUUCCUACCAGAAGUGGGACAUAUUCCUACCAGAAGUAGGACAAAGAUAAUAACAAACAAAAGAAAGAUAAAAUGAGAAUGUGACCAAUGUAUGUUACCGCUGUGGAGGAAAAGGGCAUUGGUCUAUGGAAACAAGGGAAGAAUUUAUAAUAGAAUUUACUAUAUAAUAUUAAAAUUUUUAAAUAUGUGGUCUUGCUCUUCUUUGAAGAAAAUUUAUCAAGGGUGUUAUAGAUUGAAAUGCAAAUAUAUCCUUGACUUUUGUUACAAGUUGAAAUAGGUUCACGACUUAAGUCUUAUACUUUUGACCAUUAAAGGCCUGCAUACCUUUUGGAGAAGUACAAGAAAAUUGACCUAGAUAACUAUAAUAGUUUUUAAAUCGUGUUGUCAAGAUACCCUAUAUUUCUUUCAUGAAACUAGUGUGGUCCUGCAGACACGAUAAUUUUGAGAAAGAUAGUUCAUAUAUUGUCUUUUGCUGGAUGAACAAAAUACCGAAAUCCUGAAGAAAAAUAUUAUUCUCACAUUCAACUAGGUAAACCAUUCCCAGAAGUAAAUGAGAAAUGUAUGAAUAAAAAUGGUAAAGAUAAUGUCAAUAGUCAUGAUCGAGAUCGAAUGUGAAAGUAAAACAUAGUAUAAUCAUGGCGGAAUAAAUGAGUAUGAAUGCAAUUUUAAAAUACACCAGAAGUGAGAUUGUAAAUGAUAUGAAAAUCAGGUAAAAGUUAAUGAUGAGAAAACUCAAACUUUAUAUUUUUGGUUGUUUGCGGAGAAAAUAUUAAAUAAAAGUUGGGCCCAUUACACCAAAACAUCUUGUUGAGCUUUAUUAGUACUCAUCACAAGGGAAUAAAUUAAAGAUAAACAUGGUGUAUGAAGAUAAUGAAAACAUAUGUCUAAUAGACAUUGUAGCACGCUCUCCGAACCAAAUUUAUAUACAUGCAAGGAUAAGGGGGAGAUAGCUCUCAACAUAAUAAAAUUAGCAGUAUAUGAUCAGGAUUAUAAUACAAUAUGUUAAACUUGGUACAAAUAUUUGAUCAUGUUUUAUUGACUCGCUCUAUGAGCAUGAGUACUAUACUACAUUCUAAAGAUGUAUAGUUUUGUGAUAUGUACCAAAGUUGUAAUGGAUACUCUUGAAGAGUACAAGCUAUCUUCCAUAAGUUUUGUUUAGAUUGUCUUGCUGUUAAAAUUGAGACACCAGUUUGUGUCGUUAUAUCACAUCACCAUAUGUUCAAAUUAUAGUAUUUUAUAAUUACAGUGAUCACUUUGAGAAGAUAACCAGCAGUUUAUAAUACUUUAUAUGAUAUUAUAUACGCAUGAUGUGAUAAUUCAGGCCAUCCGGGUUAAAGAACACCCGUUAUGAAAAUUUGAAAAUUCUUGUCAAAUAAAAUUUUAUGUGCUGAUACUCCCUCGUAUGUUGUAUAUAUUCAAAGGCAGGACAAAAUGAUGAGGUUGAGUUGUAUUUCAAUCGAAUAGUUAUAAUGAAUCGAUUGAGAAAAUAAAUACAAGAGAUAUUAAUGAUUUUGAAAAAUUGUAUAAUGAUAGGUGAUUUAAAGUUCACCAUGAUAGUAAGUGACCCGAAGUUCACCAGAAUGGUAGUAGGUGACUUGAAGAUCACCAAUAAGUUUACAAGUGUUUUGUGAUUGAUUUAAGUAUCAUAAAUAAGCAUCAUAAAUCUCUUGAUUGGGGCAAUCAUAAGUCAGCACGAAAAGAGAAAAUAUGAAGAAAACAACUGCAUAUUAUAUCUACUCCCCAUAAUCAAUGUUGAUCUCCAGAAGAGAACAAAAGUAUGUAAUAUUUAUCAAAAUACACGUUGAAAAGUGUAUUAUUUAGUUGGUGAAAUUUUUUUAUGCCCCAUAACAUAUUGAAAAUAUUUUCCCAACUUAGGGGGAGACGAGCAAAAAAAUAAGUUGGCAAAAUUGAAAGAUAAUAAAUUGAUCCCCAUAUGAGUAAGUGUACAUGCCAACUUAAUUUAUGUCCUCGAAGUAUGUAUGGACAUAAAUAUCUAUGACUUAAUUAUGUUAAGUUUUAUAAUGUCUAGAGACAUAAAUGUAUAUGAUAGUCAUAGUGCUCGAUGUUACAUAUAUUAAGUGUUGAGAAUUGUAUAUCUUGCCAAUAGUUAUUUAAAUGUAUACACCUGAAGUGUAGAUUACAUAUACGGUUCCAACAUAGUGCAAAAUAAAUUUAUUUAUAUAAAAAGGGCAAGAUAGUGCAGUUGAUGAUAUUUUUGAAAAUAAAAGAAAACACUAUUAAUUAUAUAGUGUAUGAAAUACCCUUAAAGUGGUAUAAAUAUUUGAACAAUGAUAUAUGGCCCGUGAGAAAAAUGAAUGGUACCUAUUGAAUAAGUAUUUAUAUCAUUGAUAAAUAGCAUGCAAAGUAUAUAUUGAAGAAUUUUGAUGAUACCGGUAGAUGAUUGAACCGAAAUAUAAUGCAUAUGCGAGAAAUAAUGAAUUUUGAAUAGGGGAUCGUAAAUCUAUGUCUGUUUCGAUGUAGACAUAACUAUAAUGAUCAAAUGAGCUCAUGGACCUGAAGUCCAACAAGUUAUGGAUUUGAAAUAUCCACACUGUACAGUGUUUUGCAUUUGACUCUUACAUUCAUAUACAUGUGUAGUUAAUAGGUAAAUGCAUCAUUUAUCAUACAUUUAGUUUGUUUUAUGUUUUAUCAUGGUAUGAUUUGUAUUUAUUCAGUUAUAAUUUCAUAUUACAUGUUUCAAAAAUAUUAUUAUGUCGUGUAUGAAUAUGCAUCCAAAGAAUGGUAAGACAGAUUUGCAACUUUAUGAAAUAUUUAUAAGUGGAGAUUCUUACUUCAUUGGCCUAAUAGUAGUGAAAGAAUUAUAUAUAUAAUGUUGAUUUAAUAGCAUGUUAUGAAUCAUGCAAAUAAGAAGAGUUCCUGAAGAACUAUACAUGAUGUUCUUAAACAUCUAGCCCUUUUAAGUUUUGCACAUGAAUAUACAACAUUGAUAAGAUAUUAUCAAAACUCUAAAAGAGUAUUUUAAAAAUGUCUUCUCAACCAGUAGUUUGAGUAUUUGAGAGUUUUGAAAUAAACAUAUUAAUUUAUUCAUGAAAUGAAAUGAAUUCUUGUACAAAUAUGAAUCAUCUUAAAUAUAUAAGAUACAAUUAUGUAAUGUCCUUCCAAUGGAUAUUAUGUUAUGGUCCGGAAGAACCAUAAGUAAUGUUAUUAGCUAUAUUAUACUUCCAAGUUGGACGAUGAUAUUGUUAUUUAUCAUGUAUUUCCAUGAAAGUAUAUGACCAAAGAAAGUUUGAUCAUUAUUGAUUGAAAACUACCAUUUAUGACCUUCAGAAGAAGGUACAUACAUGUCAAAUAUGUAUGGAAAAGUUUUGUAAUAUCAUGUACAAGAAAAUUUAUUUAUCUUAGGAGAAGUUAAAGUAUUAUUAGAUUAUGCAUUUGGGAAAUUCGAAAACAAAUGUAUCGAAUGAGAUAGAGGAGCGCACAUGAUCUUACAGGUAUUAUUUUCAAAAACAUUGGUGAUAUAAAUAUUCACCUCAUCUGUUCAAGGGGGAAUUGAAGAUUCAAGUUAAGCUUUGGACACUCAAUUUUCAAGGAACUCCAUGCUACUACAUUUGAGAAGCUAUUGAACAAUAUUUGAUAGAUUGCACAAGAAGAUCUCAAUUGAUGUAUUUAUCAGGGGGAGAAAUACGCGUUGCACUCUUUUUCCCUUAACCAAGGUUUUGUCCCACUGGGUUUUUCUGGUAAGGUUUUUAACGAGGCAACAUCUCAAGCGUAUUAUGAAGAAUGAUGGACUCUUUUUCCUUCACUAGGUUUUUAUCCCACAGGGUUUUCCUAGUAAGGUUUUAACGAGGCAUAGUCUUCAAUAAUGGACAUCCAAGGGGGAGUGUUAUGAAAUAUUGUGUGGAUGUCCAUUAUACCCCUAGUAUAUUUCCGGAAUAUUCUAGAUCUUAGGGUUUAUUGUUCCCCAAGCGAACCGUAUUCUAUUGUAUGUAUAUAUACCCCAUUAUUCAUGGAAUAAGAUACACAAUUGUUCUCUCCCAAUAUCCUCUCCUUCUUUAUUUCACAACAGACGGUGAAUUGUUGCCUGCAUAUUGCGGGCUUGAGGGCUUGCGGUUAUUAAAAAGAUUUUAAGCGCUUAAAAGUUAAAACUGCAAUCACUUCAUAACUCUAACUCUCCACGCUAUUCAUCUUCUUCUCUGCCUCUCUGCCGGUUGGUAUUUACAGAUGAUCGUCAAUUUGUUAGUCAAUUUCAUCUCAAUUCCUUAAAAGUGAAUCAUGUCAGUCAAUAAUGGACCUUGGACGGAGCAAGGCAAUGAAUUUAUCCGGUGGAUCCCCCAGCCGAUGAUCCCCGUCACUCUUAUUUUGGACCGAAUUACGGUAACCUUGUGCCAUAUUAUGGUAAUUCUAGUCACACUUAUACUCCAACGUAUGGACUUGAUUAUUUGUGGAUUGACUUGAAUAAUUAUAGCCCUCCUUACAUCCUUGAUCAUUACGGCUAUGCUUAUCCAAGUCGUGCAUGCAAAUCAGUAGGGAUGUCAGUGGGGCGGGUUUCGCGGGAGACCCGCCCCGCAUCCGUCCCAAGUAGGCAGGGAUGGAGGUAGGUUUGGCGGGUGAUGGAUCGGGGAUGGGUAUAAAAAUCGUACCCGUCAUGGGUGAUGGGACGGGUGUGGAUUUUGUGUUGAACCCGCUCCAUCCCCGCCCGCCCCGCCCCAUCCCCACUCGCCCCGCUUCAUACCCGCCAUGGGUGAUGGGGUGAGUUUGGAUUUAUUUGCAUCUUUAGGUGAUAAUAUAAAUUUAGGUGAGAUUUUUAUGUUUUUUGUUUGGAUUUUUAUGUUAUGACGAGUAUUUUUCCGAUUAUAUAGGUUACUUUAGUUAUAAGGUUUUUUUUUUUUCUAUAGUUAACUUUGAUUACUCCGUAUAUAUGGAAAAUGUUUGCUAAAUAAGAAAAAUUAGGCGGGUAUUAGCGCGGGGAUAAGACGGGGAUGGAUACCCAGUUGGGUGGCGGGGCGGGGAUGGAUUUUAGCUUACACCCGUUGGACGGGGAUGGGGAUGGAUUUUGUACCCGCCAUGAGUGAUGGGCCGGGGAUGGGGAUGAAAAUUUUAGGUGGGGAUGGGGAUGGAGGGACCUACAUCCGCAUCCACCCCGCCCUAUUGACAUCCCUACAAAUCAGUUAUCAAGUCUGGUACUCAACUUGCUGCUAUUGAGUCGACUUUAAAAUUGGUUACUUGGAAUGAGGAUGAUAUUAUAAAUAUUGUGGUAGAUUGGGUUAAUCUGCCAAAAGAGUUAGUUACUAAGAUUGCGGAACAUUUGGAACUUUAUGAAGACUUUGAGACUUUACAAUUGGUUUGUUCUCCUUGGAGAUUAGCUGCAAAAGACGCUCAUUUCCGAGCCUUUAUUAACAAUAAUA
Molecule: long non-coding RNA, 10929 nt
Organism: Spinacia oleracea (spinach)
Lineage: Eukaryota; Viridiplantae; Streptophyta; Magnoliopsida; Caryophyllales; Amaranthaceae
Exons: 3
Source: RefSeq, a predicted model, not a curated record